RNAcentral lists this ribosomal RNA (253 nucleotides) under uncultured bacterium. RNAcentral describes it as "partial 16S ribosomal RNA". It matches the Rfam family "Bacterial small subunit ribosomal RNA", at positions 524 to 776 of the family's 1533-position model. The record is from RNAcentral.
UACGAGGGGGGCAAGCGUUGUUCGGAAUUAUUGGGCGUAAAGGGCGCGUAGGCGGUGCGGUAAGUCUUGUGUGAAAUCUCCAGGCUCAACUUGGAGUCUGCACGAGAAACUGCCGGGCUUGAGUGUGGGAGAGGUGAGUGGAAUUCCUGGUGUAGCGGUGAAAUGCGUAGAUAUCAGGAGGAACACCUGUGGCGAAAGCGGCUCACUGGACCACAACUGACGCUGAUGCACGAAAGCUAGGGGAGCAAACAGG